GACGAACGCUGGCGGCGUGCCUAAUACAUGCAAGUCGAGCGGAUUGAUGGGAGCUUGCUCCCUGAUAUCAGCGGCGGACGGGUGAGUAACACGUGGGCAACCUGCCUAUAAGACUGGGAUAACUUCGGGAAACCGGGGCUAAUACCGGACAAUCCCUUUCCUCUCAUGAGGAAAGGCUGAAAGAUGGUUUACGCUAUCACUUAUAGAUGGGCCCGCGGCGCAUUAGCUAGUUGGUGAGGUAACGGCUCACCAAGGCAACGAUGCGUAGCCGACCUGAGAGGGUGAUCGGCCACACUGGGACUGAGACACGGCCCAGACUCCUACGGGAGGCAGCAGUAGGGAAUCUCCCGCAAUGGACGAAGGUCUGACGGAGCAACGCCGCGUGAGUGAUGAAGGUUUUCGGAUCGUAAAACUCUGUUGUUAGGGAAGAACAAGUACGAGAGUGACUGCUCGUACCUUGACGGUACCUAACCAGAAAGCCACGGCUAACUACGUGCCAGCAGCCGCCGUAA
This 512-nucleotide ribosomal RNA is filed under the name uncultured bacterium. Its description in RNAcentral is "partial 16S ribosomal RNA". It matches the Rfam family "Bacterial small subunit ribosomal RNA", at positions 28 to 523 of the family's 1533-position model. The record is from RNAcentral.